AAAGAUUUAGUUUAAAUAUCAUAACAUUAAUUUGUCAUAUUAAAAUAAAUAAUUUAAUAAUUAUUAAUCUUU
This 72-nucleotide transfer RNA is filed under the name Dipterophagus daci. RNAcentral's name for it is "tRNA-Asp". Lineage: Eukaryota; Metazoa; Arthropoda; Insecta; Strepsiptera; Halictophagidae. The record is from RNAcentral.